CUUUUUGAUUAUAAUUUAAGGUCUAACCUGCCCAAUGAGUGUUAAAUGGCUGCGGUACCCUGACCGUGCAAAGGUAGCAUAAUCAUUAGUUUCUUAAUUGGAAGCUGGAAUGAAAGGUUGAAUGAGAAAAUAACUGUCUCUAUUUAAUUUAAAUUUGAAUUUUAUUUUUAAGUAAAAAAGCUUAAAUAAUUAUAGAAGACGAGAAGACCCUAUAGAGUUUUACUAAUUUAAAGUUUUAAGCAAUUGGGAUUUUACUAACUUUUUAAUAAUAAAUUAGUUUAAUUGGGGUGAUUGAAAAAUUUGAUAAACUUUUUUUGUAUUUUUACAUUUAUUUAUGAGUAUUUGAUCCUUUCUAAUAAAGAUUAUAAGAAAAAAUUACCUUAGGGAUAACAGCGUAAUUUUUUUAGAGAGUUCUUAUCGAAAAAAAAGAUUGCGACCUCGAUGUUGGAUUAAAAUAAAAUUUUGGUGUAGAAGCUAAA
Molecule: ribosomal RNA, 479 nt
Filed under: Sitona suturalis
Lineage: Eukaryota; Metazoa; Arthropoda; Insecta; Coleoptera; Curculionidae
Description: partial 16S ribosomal RNA
Rfam family: Bacterial large subunit ribosomal RNA
Source: RNAcentral